RNAcentral lists this ribosomal RNA (515 nucleotides) under uncultured bacterium. RNAcentral's name for it is "partial 16S ribosomal RNA". It matches the Rfam family "Bacterial small subunit ribosomal RNA", at positions 28 to 523 of the family's 1533-position model. The record is from RNAcentral.
GACGAACGCUGGCGGCGUGCCUAAUACAUGCAAGUCGAGCGGACUUUCAAGAAGCUUGCUUUUUGAAAGUUAGCGGCGGACGGGUGAGUAACACGUGGGCAACCUGCCUGUAAGACGGGGAUAACUCCGGGAAACCGGGGCUAAUACCGGAUAAUAUCUUUCUUCGCAUGAAGGAAGGUUGAAAGGCGGCGCAAGCUGCCGCUUGCAGAUGGGCCCGCGGCGCAUUAGCUAGUUGGUGAGGUAACGGCUCACCAAGGCGACGAUGCGUAGCCGACCUGAGAGGGUGAUCGGCCACAUUGGGACUGAGACACGGCCCAAACUCCUACGGGAGGCAGCAGUGGGGAAUCUUCCGCAAUGGACGAAAGUCUGACGGAGCAACGCCGCGUGAGUGAUGAAGGUCUUCGGAUUGUAAAGCUCUGUUAAUCGGGGCGAAAGAGUUCUGCGUGAAUAAUGCAGAAAAGUGACGGUACCGGAAUAGAAAGCCACGGCUAACUACGUGCCAGCAGCCGCCGUAA